CCCAAAUGCCACUUAACUGUUUCUCUCAGA
Molecule: non-coding RNA, 30 nt
Filed under: Homo sapiens (human)
Lineage: Eukaryota; Metazoa; Chordata; Mammalia; Primates; Hominidae
Source: RNAcentral